GACGAACGCUGGCGGCGUGCCUAAUACAUGCAAGUAGAACGCUGAAGGAGGAGCUUGCUUCUCUGGAUGAGUUGCGAACGGGUGAGUAACGCGUAGGUAACCUGCCUGGUAGCGGGGGAUAACUAUUGGAAACGAUAGCUAAUACCACAUAAUAGUAGAUGUUGCAUGACAUUUGCUUAAAAGGUGCAAUUGCAUCACUACCAGAUGGACCUGCGUUGUAUUAGCUAGUUGGUGGGGUAACGGCUCACCAAGGCGACGAUACAUAGCCGACCUGAGAGGGUGAUCGGCCACACUGGGACUGAGACACGGCCCAGACUCCUACGGGAGGCAGCAGUAGGGAAUCUUCGGCAAUGGACGGAAGUCUGACCGAGCAACGCCGCGUGAGUGAAGAAGGUUUUCGGAUCGUAAAGCUCUGUUGUAAGAGAAGAACGAGUGUGAGAGUGGAAAGUUCACACUGUGACGGUAUCUUACCAGAAAGGGACGGCUAACUACGUG
This 495-nucleotide ribosomal RNA is filed under the name uncultured bacterium. RNAcentral's name for it is "partial 16S ribosomal RNA". It matches the Rfam family "Bacterial small subunit ribosomal RNA", at positions 28 to 507 of the family's 1533-position model. The record is from RNAcentral.